GGCACCCCAGGGGGGAAUCGCGAAAUGAAGGAAACUUCAAGGAAUGUCAUGGCAGCUGUCCCAGAGCCCCAUUAGCUCUCUUCCACUGUCAUGAUCCUAUGAUGAAUAUACUGUUGGGUUGGAAUCUGGAGCCUUGGGUCACUUGAAAAAUGUCAUGGAAGGGGGAAGAAAAUGGAAAAAAUUGAGUCAGGGUUGGCUCAUCUCCGGUCAACUGUGACGCAACUUCCAGAUCUCCAGGGGCCUGCACGGCGAGGAGGAGGGUGAA
Molecule: long non-coding RNA, 265 nt
Organism: Ornithorhynchus anatinus (platypus)
Lineage: Eukaryota; Metazoa; Chordata; Mammalia; Monotremata; Ornithorhynchidae
Exons: 3
Source: RefSeq, a predicted model, not a curated record